GACGGAAGGUGCAAGCGUUGCUCGGAAUCACUGGGCGUAAAGGGUGCGUAGGCGGCUUGGUAGGUCUGGUGUGAAAGCCCCGGGCUCAGCCCGGGAAGGGCACUAGAAACUGCCAAGCUAGAGUGCCGGAGGGGAGAGUGGAAUUCCCGGUGUAGUGGUGAAAUGCGUAGAUAUCAGGAGGAACACCGGUGGCGAAGGCGCACAUCUGGCCCGAUACUGACGCUGAGGCGCGAAAGCUAGGGGAGCAAACGGG
This 253-nucleotide ribosomal RNA is filed under the name uncultured bacterium. Its description in RNAcentral is "partial 16S ribosomal RNA". It matches the Rfam family "Bacterial small subunit ribosomal RNA", at positions 524 to 776 of the family's 1533-position model. The record is from RNAcentral.